This 628-nucleotide ribosomal RNA is filed under the name Engystomops pustulosus (Tungara frog). RNAcentral describes it as "partial large subunit ribosomal RNA". It matches the Rfam family "Bacterial large subunit ribosomal RNA", at positions 1778 to 2629 of the family's 2925-position model. The record is from RNAcentral. Lineage: Eukaryota; Metazoa; Chordata; Amphibia; Anura; Leptodactylidae.
CCCGGCGUUGGGCCGCCUGUUUAUCAAAACAUCGCCUUCUGCCUAAUUAUAGAAGGUCCAGCCUGCCCAGUGAAUUAAUUCAACGGCCGCGGUAUCCUAACCGUGCGAAGGUAGCGUAAUCACUUGUUCUUUAAAUGAGGACUAGUAUGAAUGGCACCACGAAGGUUAUACUGUCUCCCACUUCUAAUCAGUUAAACUAAUCUCCACGUGAAGAAGCGUGAAUAAUCAUAUAAGACGAGAAGACCCUAUGGAGCUUUAAAUAAUGCAACAUGUGUUUUUAUUAUUUAACCUCAUGAAAAACCUACAUUUAAACAUUUUGAUUGCUAAUUUUUGGUUGGGGUGACCGCGGAGUAAAAAUAACCUCCAUAAUGAAAGAAAUUAUUUUCUAAACCUAGAGCUACAACUCAAAGUAUUAUUAAAUUAACAUCCUUUGAUCCAAUAUAUUGAUCAACGAACAAAGUUACCCUAGGGAUAACAGCGCAAUCUACUUCAAGAGCUCCUAUCGACAAGUAGGUUUACGACCUCGAUGUUGGAUCAGGGUAUCCUAGUGGUGCAGCCGCUACUAAAGGUUCGUUUGUUCAACGAUUAAAACCCUACGUGAUCUGAGUUCAGACCGGCCCAACGCCGG